GCAAGAUAUCAAUAUAAAAGAAAACAGAGUAUAAGAAAUAAAAAUAAUCAAAGUACAAAACAUUUCAAAUCUUUAACAUCCAUAAUUUAGAGAUAGCAAGGUCUUUAUUUACACCAUUUUAUUUCUAGUUGAAGUCCCGUAACAGUUUUGUGAAAACAUUUAAAAACCUGGCAAAUGAAUCAUAAAACCUAAUGUGGGCUCUUAAAGUCAUAUAAUACAAAACAUAAUUUAUGUUUCCUCAGAAUAAAAUUGCACAUCUUAAAAAGAUGCAGUAUAUUUAUUAUAUCUGUCUUCCUGCUUCACAGUCUGAUCCCCCAGGAAAGCAGCUGGAAAACAAGAGCAUGUGAAGGAAGCGCAGCAGCUCCUCGCCAGCCAGACAGCCAGCCCCGCACCGCAGGAGUCGACAUGCACGGCAGCCUAGACGCCAUCAGUUAAACUUAUAUGUAGGCUUGUUGAGGAAAACGACUUUCAAACACAAGGCAAAAGAAAAACAUGAAACCAAGGGUUCCAACAUUCAUCAUCCAGUUUCAGAGACACCCUUGAAGGAAUGCUACAGCCUCUUUCUUACCCAUUCAAACCAGUCGCUCUGCUGCAUACCCACAUCACAGGAGGCCCUCAGCCCCGACACACAGGCUCACUCAGCCCGGGGACAUCAGCACCUGUGCCAGCUCCGCAAGACAGAGUUUCGCUCUUGUUGCCCAGGCUGUAGUGCAAUGGCGCGAUAUUGGCUCACUGCAACCCCUGCCUCCCAGGUUCAAGUGAUUCUCCUGCCUCACCAAGUAGCUGUGAUUACAGGUACCCGCCACCAUGGCCAGCUAAUUUUUUCUAUUUUUAGUAGAGCCAGGGUUUCACCAUGUUGGCCAGGCUGGUCUCGAACUCCUGAUCUCAGGUGAUCCACCUGUCUUGGCCUCCCGUGCUGGGAUUAUAGGCAUGAGCCACCACGUCCGGCCAAAUUUUACUUCUUAAAAGUGCUUUUCUCUCAGUGAUAUCAAGGUCUUCUGUCUACUAUUAUAACCAUAAGCUCUUUAGCGUUAAGAGGAAAAUGUUUGAUAAAUGUAAUUAACUGGAUGAAUGUCAGUGUAUUUAAAUGUAAAUAUACUUAAAUGUAAUUACCUGGAUGAAACAGGCACACACGAAGAAAAAAAAACUCGGCAAGGAUGGGUAUCAUUCUGACCUCUGCGCCUUACUGAAGCAGUCCUAUCCCAAACACAAAAUUCCCCUGCUUAAGGAAAGGUCCACUGAGGUUGACACUGGUCAGAGGUGGCAGAGGCUCCCACCCUCACAGAGAGGAGGAGCUCCAGCCUCAUUGCAGGAGGCCCAGGGAGAAGUCCUGAGAACAGCCCUGAGAGAAGGUGCUCUGCAAUGGGAAACGGAAGUGGAAACAGAAUUUUCCCAUAAGGACCUGUAAGGCAUGUUUUGCUUCACUGAUAGGCUGUUCCUACAUUAAAAUAAUAAUUCAGAGAUUUUUAAUAAGGAAUUCAAAUAACAGAUGAUGAGCUUUAUUUUUUCCUGAAUGUCUGAAAUAGAAAAAAGCCUAGGUGUCAAUAUUCUAAAGACUGACCUUUGCAUUUUCCUGACAUGUUGAUGAAGUAUUCAUUCUGCCGCUUCCAUUUAGUAGUAAUUUAUCUCCCAUCCCAAAGUUCCUGAGUACAAAGACUAUAUACGAACUAAAUUUCAUUUGGAAAACUACAAACUCAAAGGUGAGCUGAUAAAAAGAAACAUAU
Molecule: long non-coding RNA, 1724 nt
Filed under: Homo sapiens (human)
Lineage: Eukaryota; Metazoa; Chordata; Mammalia; Primates; Hominidae
Description: PREDICTED lncRNA (TCONS_00241604)
Source: RNAcentral